UGAAUACGAGACGCUAAGGCGUCGAAGUAGUGUAUGUCAUACUUCCAAGAAAAGCUUGCACUGUCAUAGAUAAAAAACGCCUGUACCAUAACCGACACAGGUGGGUAGGUAGAGUAUACUAAGGGGCGCGAGAUAACUCUCUCUAAGGAACUCGGCAAAAUAACUCCGUAACUUCGGGAGAAGGAGUGCCUUAUUCGUAAGGUUGCAAUAACAAGAUCCAAGCAACUGUUUAUCAAAAACACAGGUCUCCGCUAAGUCGUAAGACGAUGUAUGGGGGCUGACGCCUGCCCAGUGCCAGAAGGUUAAAGAAGUUGGUUAGCAAUUGCGAAGCUGAUAACUGAAGCCCUGGUGAACGGCGGCCGUAACAAUAACGGUCCUAAGGUAGCGAAAUUCCUUGUCGGGUAAGUUCCGACCCGCACGAAAGGCGUAAUGAUUUGGAUACUGUCUCGGAGAGGGGCUCGGUGAAAUAGACUUGUCUGUGAAGAUGCGGACUACCUGCACCAGGACAGAAAGACCCUAUGAAGCUUUACUGUAACUUGAAAUUGAAAUUGGACUUUAUUCGCGCAGUAUAGGUGGGAGGCGUUGAUUAUAAUCUUGUGGGAUUAUUGGAGCCAUCAGUGAGAUACCACUCUUGUAAUGUUAGAUUUCUAACUUUGAAUCAUUAUCUGGUCAAAGAACAGUUUCAGGCGGGCAGUUUGACUGGGGCGGUCGCCUCCUAAACGGUAACGGAGGCGUACAAAGGUUUCCUCUGAACGGUUAGAAAUCGUAUCUAGAGUGUAAAGGCAUAAGGAAGCUUGACCGUGAGACCUACAAGUCGAGCAGGGACGAAAGUCGGUCUUAGUGAUCUGACGGUACUGAGUGGAAAGGCCGUCACUCAACGGAUAAAAGUUACUCUAAGGAUAACAGGCUGAUCUCCCCCAAGAGUUCACAUCGACGGGGAGGUUUGGCACCUCGAUGUCGGCUCAUCGCAUCCUGGGGCGGUAGUACGUCCCAAGGGUUGGGCUGUUCGCCCAUGAAAGCGGUACGCGAGCUGGGUUCAGAACGUCGUGAGACAGUUCGGUCCAUAUCCGGUGUAGGCGUUAGAAUAUUGAGAGGAGCCUUCUUUAGUACGAGAGGACCGAGAAGGACAUACCUCUGGUGUACCAGUUAUCGUGCCAACGGUAAACGCUGGGUAGCUAUGUAUGGAGUGGGUAACCGCUGAAAGCAUCUAAGUGGGAAGCCCACCUCAAGAUAAGUAUUCUCAU
RNAcentral lists this ribosomal RNA (1244 nucleotides) under metagenome. RNAcentral describes it as "bacterial LSU rRNA". It matches the Rfam family "Bacterial large subunit ribosomal RNA", at positions 1564 to 2817 of the family's 2925-position model. The record is from RNAcentral.